GACGAACGCUGGCGGCGUGCUUAACACAUGCAAGUCGAACGGAAAGGCCCUGCUUUUGUGGGGUGCUCGAGUGGCGAACGGGUGAGUAACACGUGAGUAACCUGCCCUUGACUUUGGGAUAACUUCAGGAAACUGGGGCUAAUACCGAAUAGGAGCACAUGCUGCAUGGUGGGGGCGGGAAAGUUUCGGCGGUUGGGAAUGGACUCGCGGCCCAUUAGCUAGUUGGUAGGGUAAAAGCCUACCAAGGCGACGAUGGGUAGCCGGCCUGAGAGGGUGAACGGCCACAUUGGAACUGAGAAACGGUCCAAACUCCUACGGGAGGCAGCAGUGGGGAAUAUUGCACAAGGGAGGGAACUCUGAUGCAGCGACGCCGCGUGAACGAAGAAGGCUUUCGAGUCGUAAAGUUCUUUUAUAUGGGAAGAUAAUGACGGUACCAUAAGAAAAAGCCCCGGCUAACUACGUG
This 463-nucleotide ribosomal RNA is filed under the name uncultured bacterium. RNAcentral's name for it is "partial 16S ribosomal RNA". It matches the Rfam family "Bacterial small subunit ribosomal RNA", at positions 28 to 507 of the family's 1533-position model. The record is from RNAcentral.